Gymnodraco acuticeps is the source of this 782-nucleotide long non-coding RNA. RefSeq lists it as uncharacterized. The record is from RefSeq and is a predicted model, not a curated record. NCBI's taxonomy places the organism in Eukaryota, Metazoa, Chordata, Actinopteri, Perciformes, Bathydraconidae. The transcript is spliced from 4 exons.
UGAUGACAGAUUCUGCAUGUCAGACUGACCCACCCAAGUACCGUACUGUUCGUACACAGCUAUCCUCGAGGACUCUUGGUUCACAUCGAAGUACAGCUGUCCAGGCUAAAAUUCCCUGCAGAAGCGUUGGUGUCGAAACACUUCCGUUGGAAGUGCCAGUGCCCUUUUUAACAUCCACCCCCUUAAAGAGACCACCAAAGAGGCCCGUGUGGAUCUUGAAGAGGAAUACGAAGAUCCAUUUGAGGGAAGCUCUUCUUUGGUGUUUUCCGAAGGCCAGGAUGCAACUUAUGAUCCAGCAGAAUCCAUAACAAAUGCUACAGAAACAACAGCCAUGUCUGGUCAAGAACAAAACCCCCCCCAGACGAUCAACACAUACAUCGUGUAUGAGACCUGCCUCAUGGAGCUUUUUGAAUCAUGUCCUGUGUGCAAGCGUGUGUGUGAUGUACAAACCAGAAGGAUCGGUACAUUCAUAUCAGUGCAGCAGCUGUGCCCCCAUUGUCAGUUUACAAGAAACUGGAAUAGCCAGCCUGUUCUUGGGAGUACUCCAGUUGGAAACCUGUAGCUAUCAGUUGCAACAUAUGUCAACGGAGCAUCUUUCUACAAACUUUCAAAGGUCUUCAAAGCAAUGAAUAUGCAGCUAUGCAAAUACAACACCUUCCGAAGGCAUGCCAGGAUGUUCAUUGAGCCAGCGAUUGUUUCUUACUGGCAAAAAUCACAGGAAGGCAUGCUACAGAAGCUCCAUGCAGAGGAGAAAGUGAUAGUUGGUGGUGAUAUGAGGGCUG